AUUGAACGCUGGCGGCAGGCCUAACACAUGCAAGUCGAGCGAGCGGCGGACGGGUGAGUAAUGUCUGGGACACUGCCUGAUGGAGGGGGAUCACUAAUGGAAACGGUAGCUAAUACCGCAUACCAUCAGAUGUGCCCAGAGGGGAUUAGCUAGUAGGUUGGGGAACGCCUCACCUAGGCGACGAUCCCUAGCUGGUCUGAGAGGUUGACCGGCCACACUGGAACUUAGACACGGUCCAGACUCCUACGGGAGGCAGCAGUGGGGAAUAGUGCACAAGGGGCUCAAGCCUGAUGCAGCAAAGCCGCGUGUGGGAAGAAGGCCUGCGGGUUGUAAAGCACUUUCAGCGGGGAGGCGUUGCCCGCAGAAGAAGCACCGGCUAACUCCGUGCCAGCAGCCGCGGUAAUAC
RNAcentral lists this ribosomal RNA (406 nucleotides) under uncultured bacterium. Its description in RNAcentral is "partial 16S ribosomal RNA". It matches the Rfam family "Bacterial small subunit ribosomal RNA", at positions 29 to 526 of the family's 1533-position model. The record is from RNAcentral.